Molecule: ribosomal RNA, 497 nt
Filed under: uncultured bacterium
Lineage: Bacteria
Description: partial 16S ribosomal RNA
Rfam family: Bacterial small subunit ribosomal RNA
Source: RNAcentral
GACGAACGCUGGCGGCGUGCCUAAUACAUGCAAGUAGAACGCUGAAGAGAGGAGCUUACUCUUCUUGGAUGAGUUGCGAACGGGUGAGUAACGCGUAGGUAACCUGCCUUGUAGCGGGGGAUAACUAUUAGAAACGAUAGCUAAUACCGCAUAACAAUGGUUGACACAUGUCAUUUAUUUGAAAGGUGCAAUUGCUCCACUACAAGAUGGACCUGCGUUGUAUUAGCUAGUAGGUGAGGUAAUGGCUCACCUAGGCGACGAUACAUAGCCGACCUGAGAGGGUGAUCGGCCACACUGGGACUGAGACACGGCCCAGACUCCUACGGGAGGCAGCAGUAGGGAAUCUUCGGCAAUGGAGGCAACCCUGACCGAGCAACGCCGCGUGAGUGAAGAAGGUUUUCGGAUCGUAAAGCUCUGUUGGUAGUCAAGAACGGGUGUGAGAGUGGAAAGUUCACACUGUGACGGUAGCUUACCAGAAAGGGACGGCUAACUACGUG